This 494-nucleotide ribosomal RNA is filed under the name uncultured bacterium. RNAcentral describes it as "partial 16S ribosomal RNA". It matches the Rfam family "Bacterial small subunit ribosomal RNA", at positions 28 to 507 of the family's 1533-position model. The record is from RNAcentral.
GACGAACGCUGGCGGCGUGCUUAACACAUGCAAGUCGAACGGAAAGGCCUGCUUUCCCUUGUGGAUUGCGGGUACUCGAGUGGCGAACGGGUGAGUAACACGUGAGUGAUCUGCCCCCAACUUGGGUAUAAGCCUGGGAAACUGGGUCUAAUUCCCGAUAGGACUGCAGGGUGGUGCCUGAGGUGGAAAACGAUUUUCUAGUGGUUGGGGAUGAGCUCGCGGCCUAUCAGCUUGUUGGUGGGGUAAUGGCCUACCAAGGCGGCGACGGGUAGCCGGCCUGAGAGGGUGGACGGCCACAUUGGGACCGAGAUACGGCCCAGACUCCUACGGGAGGCAGCAGUGGGGAAUAUUGCACAAUGGGCGGAAGCCUGAUGCAGCGACGCCGCGUGGGGGAUGACGGCCUUCGGGUUGUAAACUCCUUUCGACCGCGAGGAAGCCACCUGGUUGGAAGGGUGGUGACGGUAGUGGUAGAAGAAGCACCGGCUAACUACGUG